GUCAGGUGUGGUGGCGAACUCCUGUAAUCCCAGGAACUUGGGAGGCUAAGGCAGGAGGACUACAAGUUCAAGGCCAGCCUCGGCAACUUAGGCUCUAAGCAACUUGGUGAGAUCUUGUCUUAA
This 123-nucleotide small RNA is filed under the name Marmota monax (woodchuck). Lineage: Eukaryota; Metazoa; Chordata; Mammalia; Rodentia; Sciuridae. The record is from RNAcentral.